RNAcentral lists this ribosomal RNA (253 nucleotides) under uncultured bacterium. RNAcentral describes it as "partial 16S ribosomal RNA". It matches the Rfam family "Bacterial small subunit ribosomal RNA", at positions 524 to 776 of the family's 1533-position model. The record is from RNAcentral.
UACAGAGGGGGCAAGCGUUAUUCGGAAUUAUUGGGUGUAAAGGGCGCGUAGGCGGCUUGGCAAGUGGAUGGUGAAAUCCCUCGGCUUAACCGAGGAACUGCCGUCCAAACUGCUUUGCUUGAGGCCGGGAGAGGCGAGUGGAAUUCCCAGUGUAGCGGUGAAAUGCGUAGAUAUCGGAAGGAACACCAGUGGCGAAAGCGGCUUCCUGGUCCAGCACCGACGUUCAGGCACGAAAGCGUGGGGAGCAAACAGG